This 1357-nucleotide long non-coding RNA is filed under the name Cyanistes caeruleus (blue tit). RNAcentral's name for it is "lncRNA (ENSCCEG00000023359.1)". The record is from RNAcentral. Lineage: Eukaryota; Metazoa; Chordata; Aves; Passeriformes; Paridae.
AUUCAUAUAUAUAUAAAUAUAUAUAUAUAUGUGUGUGUAUGUACGUAUGUACUGAAGGAUUACAAAGCAUGCUACAAAUUAUACAAUUCAUAUGCAGAAAAAAAAAAUUAUCUGCCGCUAGAUUGCGUCAUUCUGUUUAAUAAGUUGGCAGAAAUAAAUAUCUGUGUUGACAUUUCAUCUUCUCAAGCCUACAUAAGGUUGGGCGCCACACUUGUUUUUCCUGCCGAUCGUGCCCACCAGAAGAUGGCACUGAAGAAAGAAAAUCCUGAUUCACAAACCCGGUCUGUGUUUGUGAACACAAGAUAUGCUUUGGCCAUCGUCGAGGUCCCAGAGGAAAAACUUUAUUCGCAUUCCUGAGGAGCUACAACCCAUUUUUCAGCAGUUCUUAAGUGAAUAAUAAGAACUGGAAUAACACCAACACAACUGCCUUUAUGGUGCAGUUUCCUUUCAAAUUGCAUAAGCAUCAUUCAAGUGAAGAAGUGCAAAUGCAGGCAAGGUCCAGUGACGGUAAGUAUCAGUAAUUAUAAGCAUCAGCACAGAGGGGAAGCUCCAAAAAGGACCUUGAGAGAUCACGAGUCCCUCCUCUUCAUGAAGGAGCAAGGAUAGCUGGAGGUCUGGCCAGCUUUCUAUGGAAUACUAGUGUAGGCUUUCUGGGGAUAGCUCAAAUGCUUUGCUGUGUUUUACAUGCACGUCUCCCACGUGGGAUCCUUGCCUAGGUAAAGACGGAGACGAGGCACGUGGCAUUUGGGUGUUUCCAUCUGAGAGGACAGAAAUAGUCGUAUAUGCCAGUGCAACUGAGAUUUUGGCCUGUUCCAGCAUUUCUGUGAGGUUCACCUGUAAGUCCACGGAUGCCAGAGGAACUGCAGGAGGCAAUAGGAGCUGCACUCAUGUUCUGCUCCAUUGCUUUGCUCUGAGACCCUCCAGGUGUUCCUCCUGACACCCCAGAGCUUGGCAUGCCCGCUGCCUUUCCCCCCUAGAGGCCUCACAGGUGUUCAUGUAAAGGACACUGCAGGUGACCCUGGCAUGAUCCCAGCAAGGUUUUUCUGUUGGGAAGGAGGUGCAUUCCUGCAUGACUGUGAUGAAAAGCUGUCUCUCUGCUCCCACAGGCUCAGCCCACCACCUUUGCGCAGCUCCAGACUCUAUUUCAGGCAGGAAAUAACCCAUAGGGACAAAUGACCUUAAUUAUUAGGACAAAGAUUACUUGUUUAAGUGCAGAAUCUUAGUAUUAAUACAAGAAAUAAUCAAGAUAUGUUGUUGUAAUUAAAUUGAAUCUGUUCUUUCCUCCCUGAAGAGUUCCCUCUCAGUCUAAUUUAUUGUUUAUUUGGUUAAUCAGUAUUAAAGACCCAAAGAAAUGGUG